RNAcentral lists this ribosomal RNA (254 nucleotides) under uncultured bacterium. RNAcentral's name for it is "partial 16S ribosomal RNA". It matches the Rfam family "Bacterial small subunit ribosomal RNA", at positions 524 to 776 of the family's 1533-position model. The record is from RNAcentral.
UACGAAGGGGGCUAGCGUUGUUCGGAAUUACUGGGCGUAAAGCGCACGUAGGCGGAUUGUUAAGUUAGGGGUGAAAUCCCAGGGCUCAACCCUGGAACUGCCUUUAAUACUGGCAAUCUCGAGUCCGAGAGAGGUGAGUGGAAUUCCGAGUGUAGAGGUGAAAUUCGUAGAUAUUCGGAGGAACACCAGUGGCGAAGGCGGCUCACUGGCUCGGUACUGACGCUGAGGUGCGAAAGCGUGGGGGAGCAAACAGG